CCUACGGGAGGCAGCAGUGGGGAAUAUUGCACAAUGGAGGAAACUCUGAUGCAGCGACGUCGCGUGAGCGAAGAAGGUUUUCGAAUCGUAAAGCUCUGUCCUAUGGGAAGAAGAAAGACGGUACCAUAGAAGAAAGCCCCGGCUAACUACGUGCCAGCAGCCGCGGUAAUACGUAGGGGGCGAACGUUAUCCGGAAUGAUUGGGCGUAAAGGGUACGUAGGCGGACCUGUAAGUCAGGUGUGAAAGGCAUGGGCUCAACCCAUGUAAGCACUUGAAACUGCGGGUCUUGAGGGAAGGAGAGGUAAGUGGAAUUCCUAGUGUAGCGGUGAAAUGCGUAGAUAUUAGGAGGAAUACCGGUGGCGAAGGCGACUUACUGGACUUUUACUGACGCUGAGGUACGAAAGCGUGGGGAGCAAACAGGAUUAGAUACCCCAGUAGUC
Molecule: ribosomal RNA, 440 nt
Filed under: uncultured Tissierellaceae bacterium
Lineage: Bacteria; Bacillati; Bacillota; Tissierellia; Tissierellales; Tissierellaceae
Description: bacterial SSU rRNA
Rfam family: Bacterial small subunit ribosomal RNA
Source: RNAcentral